CGGAGUUGAAGGUGCCUGUGAUACCUACACACUGAUUCUUUGGAAACAGAGAAUGGAGAAUUGUGGUAGACUCCCAUUAGCAUUAUGUGGUCUCCACAAAACCCUAUUUUCUCAAGUCUGAAGACAUUUAAAGGAAUGGAUUACAUUAAAAGACAAACACAAAAAUCCACCAGAUCAUCAAUCAAAAGAAGAAAAAGUAUCCCCAAAAGGGUGAAAAUUCUGUGGCAGAAGAAAAUGGAAGAUAUUAUCAGCAAAUAAUAUCAAUGGUCAAAGGCAACAUGAUUUGAAAAGGACCCAGGAGAGAGAAUAUUGAGGAAGGCUUCAAAUCAAAGUGAAACCACCAAUAUGUGAUUUGCUUCUGCUUCCAAUUUGUCUAGAAGGAUUUUGCCACUCCCAUCUAGUAAACCACCAAUGCCAAAUAAAAGCACUAUAUUACAUGCG
Molecule: long non-coding RNA, 441 nt
Filed under: Dasypus novemcinctus (nine-banded armadillo)
Lineage: Eukaryota; Metazoa; Chordata; Mammalia; Cingulata; Dasypodidae
Description: lncRNA (ENSDNOG00000052130.1)
Source: RNAcentral